This 114-nucleotide unclassified non-coding RNA is filed under the name uncultured fungus. Its description in RNAcentral is "sequence contains ITS1". The record is from RNAcentral. Lineage: Eukaryota; Fungi.
GUGUGUGUAUGUUGUGUAUAUGUUUCACUUUCUCAGAGUUAAUUACGGUUCACAGGAAAGUGUGGAAGAAAGGAAAAUUCAUUAAUGAUCCUUCCGCAGGUUCACCUACGGAAA